ACGAACGCUGGCGGCGCGCCUAACACAUGCAAGUCGAACGAGCGAGAGAGAGCUUGCUUUCUUGAGCGAGUGGCGAACGGGUGAGUAACGCGUGAGGAACCUGCCUCAAAGAGGGGGACAACAGUUGGAAACGACUGCUAAUACCGCAUAAGCCCACGGGGCCGCCUGGCACAGAGGGAAAAAGAGCAAUCCGCUUUGAGAUGGCCUCGCGUCCGAUUAGCUAGUUGGUGAGGUAACGGCCCACCAAGGCGACGAUCGGUAGCCGGACUGAGAGGUUGAACGGCCACAUUGGGACUGAGACACGGCCCAGACUCCUACGGGAGGCAGCAGUGGGGAAUAUUGCACAAUGGGGGAAACCCUGAUGCAGCGACGCCGCGUGGAGGAAGAAGGUCUUCGGAUUGUAAACUCCUGUUGUUGGGGAAGAUAAUGACGGUACCCAACAAGGAAGUGACGGCUAACUACGUG
This 465-nucleotide ribosomal RNA is filed under the name uncultured bacterium. RNAcentral's name for it is "partial 16S ribosomal RNA". It matches the Rfam family "Bacterial small subunit ribosomal RNA", at positions 29 to 507 of the family's 1533-position model. The record is from RNAcentral.